GUGUAUUCAUUUACAGUCCUUUUCUCAGAGCUCUGAAUUAGAAUAAGCGUUGUAAUAAUCCAAUAUAUGUGCAUGUGUAAGUGCAUUUUCUUACAGGAUAACUAUUACUCCAGGCCUUUCCUCGUUGAUAUUCCCUUGAGCUGUUGUGAUCAUUAUUGAUGUCAGAAAAGUGGUCUAUCUAUCAUGGAGUCAAAAAUAUUAUUGUUUUGAUAGAUACGAGUUUCAUGCUAUUGCACUGGCCAAUUUUUCAAGACUUUGAAUAUCAUUUGUUAGUUUAUGGUAGGUUUAAGAGAAUUCCAAUAAAUUUUCAAGAGUUUGAAUAUCAUUUGUUAGUUUAUAGUAGGUUUAAGAGAAUUCCAAUUUUUUGUGUUGCCUGCUGCACUUGUUACCCAUUUUUUCAUUUUACGAUUCAAAAUGUUAAUUGCCAUGGAGUAAUUAUGAUUUAUAAUUGUAUGCUUGUGACUCUCUUCUUAGUUGGACAGGCAUAAGAUUAUUCAUUGACACCCCUGAAGGCUAGAACCAGAGCUUACCAAUUGAAUGAGCCUAUAAUCUAUUUAUCUGAAAGAAAAGCCAUUUAUUGUCAUAAUAUUGCUUGUUGGUAUCUUUUUCCAGGUCCGUGGAGACCAAUGUCAAGCAAGAAAUUGCACCAAAUCACAACAUCAGAGCAGGGCUGGCUUCUCUGAUACCAAAAAAGCAUGAGUCAUGGUCAAUCAUCUAUGGAUGGAGGGCCAGUCUUGCAUCUCUGCUGUUCAAACAAGGAAAUUAGAUCAGAUCAUAAAAAUAGGAUUAUUUUGAAGUUAUAAUCAACUGAUAGUGCUGGAUUUUUGUGCUGCCUUUGGAUGUUUUGUUGGCGUUGCUGCUUUAUUUCAAUCUAUGUUACCAUGGUCACAUUUUAAAAAUGCAUGCUUUAAGUGUUUGGUUUAAUUCUUCUACUAGUCGAUUUCCAAGUUAUUACUCUCGGAAUUAGCUAUACGGAAGAAGUAUAUUUGCUGGAAAUAUCUAAGGUGUGGAAAGAUUUUAGGGGCAAGAGAAAAUGCUUGUGUUUAAUGAUGUACUCUUGACUAAUAUUGAGAAAAUGUUUACCUACUACAGUACUACCUAGUGGUGGAUAAAACCCAUUGCAACUUUUUAGACUUCUGUAAUUCAGGAAGGAUGUCUAGUACCUACUACCUAUCUGUGGGAUCCGGCGCAAAGUCGCCCAGUUUAUCCAACCCAACCUAUGAAUCAUUGCGGACCCCAAUUUGAAAGAAGGGUUUUGUAAUGGCAACACGGGCUUAUAACAUACAAGUGCUAGUACUUGGGCCCAGUUUUGAGAAUGAGUUCUACUGUAAGACGGGCCUGUUCUUCUUCUUUUUUUUUCUUUUUUAAGUGGAGUUAUUGGCAUCCCGCCCUUUUCUGAAUAUACCUCAAUAAAAUAUUUAAAAAUCAUAUAAUCACUUGUAACACUCUAUGAAUAUUGAAAGUAACCUUAAUUUAUUGAGAUCUCUUCCUUAUUGUGUAGUGAGUUUGCCGUUGGAUUAGCUCUAGUAGGUUAUAUGUAAAAUAUAGAAGUUCAAAGAAUGUUUAUCAAAAUCAAAUUAUUGUUCAACUUCCCCUAUGACUACCAGUUGACUAUGACUACUAGUUGAUAACGAGUUUUGAAACUAAAAGGAAAUUUCAUGAUAUACAGUGAAUUAUUAAAGACAUCUAGCAAGUAUAAUAAGCCUUCAUGUACUCUUUCUUUCCUUUUUUUUUUUUAAUUACAUGAGACUAUUAUUCAUAUUACAAUUCAUAUUAUAUGAGAUUAUAACUAAUUUUUACAAUCGGAUAAUUACUGGGACUAGUAGUUCUCUAAUAUUUAGGGGACAUCAACUCCACUCACAUUUUAAAAGGGAGAAUACUACAUUCACUUAAAUUUAAGGAAAGAAAUUAAAUCAUAGUUGUGAGAGAGUGGUUAUAGCCACUCGGGCUGUUGUGAAAAUUUUUAAUAUAUUCGCAAGCGCACGAAUCUAAACAUAAAAUAGUAGUAACGAGGUCGAACUCACAUGGUUUGUUAUAAAUUGAAAAGUUUAAUUUAAAUCUAAAAUUAAUUAAUCCUAACCUAGUUGAGCAAAUUGAGUUUUUAAGAGAAAUAAAACUAAUAAAACUAAGAAAACAAAUAAAGUUUAUGGAAAUUCAAUAAGACAAAGGUUAUCAAGGUUUUAGAAUCCACCACUAUUCAACUAACAAUUAUCUGAUUGUUAAUUAAUCCUUAAUUUUAGAGUGACAACUUGAAAUCAAUCUAUGCCAUUUCAUGGAUAUAAAAAUUAAGUCCCAUUAAUAUUAAUCUUGUGUAGGUUCUUCUUCUGGUUAAUAGUAUAAUAUCUAAGCAUCUCAUGUAAACAUAUUAAAUAACAAAGAGUCAAAGUUUUUCUAAACACUCUAUGUAAACAAUUUAAUAAAAGACACCGAGUCAAAGGUAAUCUUAUAUAGACUUUAGAGAUCCAAAUCCAAGCAUAGAUUUAGUAAGAUAUUAAUCCUAACAAUCAAUAAUGCAUGAUAGAAUUAGUGAAAAGAUUUAAAAACAUCCAACUAAUCAUUUUUGAUAGAAUUGGUGAAAAGAUUUAAUAACAUCCAACUAAUCAUGUAAAAUAAAAACCAUAAACUUUUAAGAACAUAUACAGUGAAUUAAUUAAAUAAAAAUAAAAAUUAUUUCAUUGAAUAUGAUUUCAUUCUUAAUCUUAGGAUAAAAAAAUUAAUUAGACAUAUUUCAAUUGAGAACAACAAAAUAAAUAAAACCAACCAUGAAAAAUUAAAUUGCUGCUACUUCUUCUCUCUCUGUCGAACGCUCCCUCCUUCAAUUGUCUAAUGUACGAG
This 2835-nucleotide long non-coding RNA is filed under the name Citrus sinensis (sweet orange). RNAcentral describes it as "long non-coding RNA (CSIN_LNC001814)". The record is from RNAcentral. Lineage: Eukaryota; Viridiplantae; Streptophyta; Magnoliopsida; Sapindales; Rutaceae.